UUUUCUAAUAAUUAUUUCUUAAUAAUUUUAAUUUUUUAAUUCAAUGGUGGUGGGGGUGACUCCCCAUGGUCCCCAUGAUUAAAUAAUAGUCAUAUUAUAGGUUUACACACUGGCUAAUAGAAGUGUUGUUGUAUUAAAUUCAACAAUAAAUGUGUAUGAUUUUAAUUGACUAGGUCUUACAAGGUAUAAUUGAUAUUGUGUG
This 202-nucleotide long non-coding RNA is filed under the name Nicotiana benthamiana. RNAcentral describes it as "long non-coding RNA (NBEN_LNC032383)". The record is from RNAcentral. Lineage: Eukaryota; Viridiplantae; Streptophyta; Magnoliopsida; Solanales; Solanaceae.